CGGGGAGUAGUGUUGGUUCUACGGCGGGUCUCAUAAGCCUGUCUACGAGGGUUCGAUUCCAUCCUCCGCUUCCA
RNAcentral lists this transfer RNA (74 nucleotides) under Acidithiobacillus thiooxidans. RNAcentral describes it as "tRNA-OTHER". The record is from RNAcentral. Lineage: Bacteria; Pseudomonadati; Pseudomonadota; Acidithiobacillia; Acidithiobacillales; Acidithiobacillaceae.